RNAcentral lists this non-coding RNA (169 nucleotides) under Streptomycetaceae bacterium. Lineage: Bacteria; Bacillati; Actinomycetota; Actinomycetes; Kitasatosporales; Streptomycetaceae. The record is from RNAcentral.
ACAGCACCACAACAUGUAUGCUCGUGCUCGCUGUCGCCGCAGGGGAACCCGGUGCGAACCCGGGACUGUCCCGCAACGGUGUGCGGUGCCCCGCCCCGCUCUGCCGGGAGCCGGCAACGGCUGUGGGCGCGCCGCGAGUCCGAGCACCUGCCGACGGCGUCGUACACGU